This 251-nucleotide ribosomal RNA is filed under the name uncultured bacterium. Its description in RNAcentral is "partial 16S ribosomal RNA". It matches the Rfam family "Bacterial small subunit ribosomal RNA", at positions 525 to 775 of the family's 1533-position model. The record is from RNAcentral.
ACGUAGGGUGCAAGCGUUGUCCGGAAUUACUGGGUGUAAAGGGAGCGCAGGCGGACCGGCAAGUUGGAAGUGAAAACUAUGGGCUCAACCCAUAGAUUGCUUUCAAAACUGCUGGCCUUGAGUAGUGCAGAGGUAGGUGGAAUUCCCGGUGUAGCGGUGGAAUGCGUAGAUAUCGGGAGGAACACCAGUGGCGAAGGCGACCUACUGGGCACCAACUGACGCUGAGGCUCGAAAGCAUGGGUAGCAAACAG